This 253-nucleotide ribosomal RNA is filed under the name uncultured bacterium. RNAcentral describes it as "partial 16S ribosomal RNA". It matches the Rfam family "Bacterial small subunit ribosomal RNA", at positions 524 to 776 of the family's 1533-position model. The record is from RNAcentral.
UACGAACUGUGCGAACGUUAUUCGGAAUCACUGGGCUUAAAGGGUGCGUAGGCGGCCUUCUAAGUAGGGUGUGAAAGCUCUCGGCUCAACCGAGGAAUUGCGCUCUAAACUAGCUGGCUUGAGUGAGAUAGGGGUGUGCGGAACUUCCAGUGGAGCGGUGAAAUGUGUUGAUAUUGCAAGGAACGCCGGUGGCGAAAGCGGCACACUGGGUCUUAACUGACGCUGAGGCACGAAAGCCAGGGUAGCGAACGGG